UUAAUGACCAAAUGGCUUAGCGUAGCAAUAGCAACACGAUUCGAUUAACCUUAUUCGAAGAUAAUAAAUAAUGACUUGUUAAUGAUUUUUUUUAAUAAUGUUGUGGAGGCAGUGGAGUACAGAUUAAAGAGGCACUCCAGCUUCAACUAGAUGUUCAGAGGCAUCUUCAUGAACAACUAGAGAUUCAACGAAACCUACAACUAAGAAUCGAAGAACAAGGGAAACAGUUGAAAAUAAUGAUGGAACAACAACAAAAAACAAAAGAGAGUCUAAUGAAGACACCCGAAGCUGAAGCAUCAUUGUCUCUUCCCGCUUCCGAUCACACUCCUGAUCCUCCGCCACCUUUCUUGGUACAAGACAACACAGAAUCCCUGAUGCUAACAAGUUAUGGAGACAAUCAACUCCAGUCAAAGAUUAGUUGAAAAAAAAAAUGAGAGAUAUUGGCUACAUAGAAAAGGGCCUAAAGCAUGUUUCUACUCUAUUCAAAAUGGUAUAAAGUCAUAAGAGUCGCGACAAGAGAAUGUCCAAAGUGCUACACACACUAACACUUGGGAAAAGAAUCAGGUACUAAAUGUGUGCAAGUGGUGUGUGAUGGGGUCUCAUUAGUCAAUAGAGUAAUAGAUGUGUGAGAUUAUUCUUAAUUAACUAUAUUUUGUGUUAUAAACUCACACGAAGAGAGAUGGCUUCUUAAAUUAGUAACGCUACUUUUUAAAAAUUGUGCACGAGGAA
Camelina sativa (false flax) is the source of this 729-nucleotide non-coding RNA. The record is from RefSeq and is a predicted model, not a curated record. Lineage: Eukaryota; Viridiplantae; Streptophyta; Magnoliopsida; Brassicales; Brassicaceae.